CCUACGGGGGGCAGCAGUGGGGAAUAUUGCUCAAUGGGCGAAAGCCUGACGCAGCGAAGCCGCGUGAGGGAUGAAGGUCUUCGGAUCGUAAAACUCUGUCAGCAGGGAAGAACGGUCACUGUGCUAAUCAGCAGUGAAUUGACGGUACCUGCAAAGGAAGCACCGGCUAACCCCGUCCCAGCCGCCGCGGUAAGACGGGGGGUGCGAGCGGUAAUCGGAAUGACUGGGCGUAAAGCGCUCGUAGGCGGUAUGUGAAGUCAAGGGUGAAAUGCCCGCGCUCAACGUGGGAACUGCCUUUGAAACUGGCAAACUGGAGUGUGUGAGAGGAUAGUGGAAUUCGAGGUGUAGGAGUGAAAUCCGUAGAGAUCUGGAGGAACAUCAGUGGCGAAGGCGACUAUCUGGCACAUAACUGACGCUGAGGAGCGAAAGCGUGGGUAGCAAACAGGAUUAGAUACCCCUGUAGUC
Molecule: ribosomal RNA, 465 nt
Filed under: uncultured bacterium
Lineage: Bacteria
Description: partial 16S ribosomal RNA
Rfam family: Bacterial small subunit ribosomal RNA
Source: RNAcentral